GAUGAACGCUGGCGGCGUGCUUAACACAUGCAAGUCGAACGGAAAGGCCCAAGCUUGCUGGGGUACUCGAGUGGCGAACGGGUGAGUAACACGUGGGUGACCUGCCCUGCACUUCGGGAUAAGCCUGGGAAACUGGGUCUAAUACCGGAUAGGACGAGGGUUUGGAUGGCAUUGGGGAGAGUUUUUUCGGUGUGGGGGGAGGUCGCGGCCUAUCAGCUUUUGGGGGGGGGAGUGGCGUAUCAAGGCGUCGACGGGGAUCCGGCGCGUGAGGGUGUGCGGCCCCAUUGGGGCUGUGAUACAGGCCACAGUCCUCUAGGGGGCAGAAGUGGGGAAUAUUUUACACUGUGCGCAGGCCUGAGGCAGCGACGCCGCGUGGGGGGUGAGGCCGUUCGCGUUGUAAAAACCUUUCGCUAGGGACGCAGCGCUUUUGUGACGGUACCUGGAGAAGAAGCACCGGCUAACUACGUG
Molecule: ribosomal RNA, 468 nt
Filed under: uncultured bacterium
Lineage: Bacteria
Description: partial 16S ribosomal RNA
Rfam family: Bacterial small subunit ribosomal RNA
Source: RNAcentral